Molecule: ribosomal RNA, 253 nt
Filed under: uncultured bacterium
Lineage: Bacteria
Description: partial 16S ribosomal RNA
Rfam family: Bacterial small subunit ribosomal RNA
Source: RNAcentral
UACGUAGGGGGCAAGCGUUGUCCGGAAUCAUUGGGCGUAAAGAGCGUGUAGGCGGCCUGGUAAGUCCGCUGUGAAAGUCCAGGGCUCAACCCUGGAAUGCCGGUGGAAACUGUCAGGCUCGAGUCCGGAAGAGGCGAGUGGAAUUCCUGGUGUAGCGGUGAAAUGCGCAGAUAUCAGGAGGAACACCAAUGGCGAAGGCAGCUCGCUGGGACGGUACUGACGCUGAGAAGCGAAAGCGUGGGGAGCAAACAGG